RNAcentral lists this ribosomal RNA (253 nucleotides) under uncultured bacterium. RNAcentral's name for it is "partial 16S ribosomal RNA". It matches the Rfam family "Bacterial small subunit ribosomal RNA", at positions 524 to 776 of the family's 1533-position model. The record is from RNAcentral.
UACGGAGGGGACUAGCGUUGUUCGGAAUUACUGGGCGUAAAGCGCACGUAGGCGGAUUUGUAAGUCAGGGGUGAAAUCCCGAGGCUCAACCUCGGAACUGCCUUUGAUACUGCAAAUCUCGAGUCCGGAAGAGGUGAGUGGAAUUCCUAGUGUAGAGGUGAAAUUCGUAGAUAUUAGGAAGAACACCAGUGGCGAAAGCGGCUUCCUGGUCCAGCACCGACGUUCAGGCACGAAAGCGUGGGGAGCAAACAGG